UNCUUCUGAGUGUUGACACUUGCUAAGAUG
RNAcentral lists this non-coding RNA (30 nucleotides) under Rattus norvegicus (Norway rat). The record is from RNAcentral. Lineage: Eukaryota; Metazoa; Chordata; Mammalia; Rodentia; Muridae.